This 3224-nucleotide long non-coding RNA is filed under the name Medicago truncatula (barrel medic). RNAcentral's name for it is "long non-coding RNA (MTRU_LNC004219)". Lineage: Eukaryota; Viridiplantae; Streptophyta; Magnoliopsida; Fabales; Fabaceae. The record is from RNAcentral.
GGACUAUGGUUUCAAAUGUACCUGUAUCACGGGUUCUACCAAGUUCCCAAAGUCCUUAACCACUUUCAAAUAUUUAUCAGGUGACGGGACUACUCCCAUUCCAAUAAUAUUUGUAGGAAAGUCUCGUUUGGGUGUAGUAUCGCGUAUCAACCAAUUCAAGACUACUCUUGGUUAGCCACCGCACUACGUCCUAAAAGGCCAAGAUGGGUUAAUGGUAACUAAAGGUCCUCAACAUCGACGGUCACUUGAAAAUACAAUGCCAACACGACCACUCAUGCCGACAUAAAUUACUUCCAAGAUCCCUCCAUUGAGUGGGGUUAUACCACAUGAACCAAAACACGAGACUUGACUCUCGGAAAGGCACUUUGGUUAUACCACCAUCCUAUCUUAUGUUUCCCUCAAGCCCGGGUGUAGGACUUAUCUCACCACUCACGUUUAGAAAGAAGAAAGAAGAAGGAAGAACAUAUAUACACGUAUUUCCAUCUUUUAUUUUUGUUUUAGUUUUAAGCAAGUUAUAGCACAAAGAGUUAAAUAAAGCCAAGUUAGGCUCAACCCUCUUAGGGGAUCCCCAGUGAAGUCGCCAUUUCUGUCGCGUCAUUUUUUGGAGAUCAAGGCUAUUUGAUUAGCUUUUGACUCACUAAUUAUUUCACGACUGAACAUUUAAUUUUUUAAGAAAAGGGGAAAAAAUUUCAAACUACCCCAUUUUGAAAAGAUUUAGGGUUCGGGGGUUAGUUACAUAAAGGGAAGGUGUUAGCACCCUUUAUGUCCGUAGUACUCUACGGGAACCUCUUGGUUUUUAUUUAAUUUUCGUGCUAUAACUUGCUUGCUUUUGAAAAGAAGGAAUUAAUGUGAUGAAAAAGAAAAUAAAGUGAGACCUAAUUUAUCUACAUUUUUUAUUGUUUGAAAGGACAUGGUCCUCUGCCUACGUACCCGUGAAGGAUCAAAACCUCGUAGUUCGGGGUAGAAAUUGACGUUUGAUUUGUUGAGUGUUUUUUAUUAAUUUUGAAAAAGGUUUUAAAAUGAAAAGCCAAGUGGCAAAUAAGAAUUUGUUUGUGUUUUUUAUAUUAAAGAAAAUGACUUAAAGUUGAAUUAAAGUUGAUUGAAAUUUGAUAAAAAUAAAAAGAGACGAUCACUUGAUUUAGGAUCAAGGUUUGUUUAUGAAAAUAUUUUUGUGAUUUUUGUUAUUUGCAUGUUUUUGUUGUUUUUGAAUAAUUGGACUAAAAAAUUAAACUAACGGAGCAUAAAAAUAAAAAAACGUAGGUACCUCAUGGGGUAUUGGACCACCACCUUUGACCUAAACUACAAAGCAGAUAAGAGACAUACACACACAUGCACCUACGACUAUUACAUAAAAGCCUAUUUACAUUCUAAGGUCUGCAGAAAAUAAAUGACAAGAAAAAUAAAUAAAUUAUUUACAUCAAUGCCUAUUGUACAUUCUAAAUCAAUGCAAGUAAAUAAAAGAUAUAAAAUAAAUAUGUGAAUGCUGAUAAAUAAUAAGAUAAAAGAAAAUAAAAAUGCUAAAGAAAAAAUAAAUGCAAGGGAAAUUUAAAAACGCAUGAAAACGGUAAAAAAAGAAAGAUGAUGGGGGUGCAGGUAGUAAGCAGGGGGGGUGCAGGAAGUAAAAAAAGAAUUGGGCUUCAUGGAGAGGCUUGGGCGCGCUUAGUGGGCUUAAACCGGUUUGGUUCAGGCCUGAAUCGGUUCAGGAGAACCAAACCGGUUCAGGGGGCUAUAUAAAGGGUGUAACGGUUUUUUCACUCAUUUCCUACAUCCCUUUCUCUCUCUUCCCUUUUUCUUUCCCUCAUAUGCUCUCUCCUCUCUCUUACUCCUUCUUUCUUCUCCGACCAGCAUGAGUUUUCCGGCGCGGUGGUCGCCGGCCUAGGGUGGUGGCGCCGCCGCGCCGGAGACAAAACAUCUCCCCUUUUUUUUUUAAAUUUUCGGUUUUCCUACCUAUUUUCUCUUCUCUAUCCGUUUCUAGCCUUAAAAUUUCCCAACACUAAGCCUAGGCUUCUAGAUCUAAAAAAAAAGAGGAAAACUACCUUUGGUUACAGCUUCGGUUCAGCUUUGUGUUAAUUCGUUUUGAUUCCUGGUUCGUGUUUGGCUUGUGCUGCUGCGUGUUUGGGGUUGUGUCGCUUCUGUGUGUGUGUGUUUGUUGGGUUGUGCGCCUCUCUCUGUGUUGUGGUGUUGCUUCCUGUGCGUGUGUGUUUUGUUGUGUUGCUGCGUGUUGAUGCUGUGUUGCGAUUCCGUUUCCUCUAUUGUUCCUGUGUGUUUUUGAUUGUGUUUGGCAGGUUGCAAUUUAUAGUGCUGGGAUUUGGGUUUAGGGUUUGUUAAAAGAGUAGAUAAAUGUGGCUUUGGAUUGAGAUGAAGAACACGACUGGAUUUGGAUUGAAUGAGCAUGGGAAACGCGUUUGCACUGGCGUGACAGACUAUUUUUUUUUUUAUUGAAAAGAAAAAAACGUGUUUAUGCAUCUGGACCACUUUUUGGAUUUUUUGACACUUUUGGACUUAUCUCUUAAAUUUUUUUUAAAAAAUGAAAUAAAUAAUAAAAUAAAAAGGAAAUAAAAUUUACAUUUUCGGUUUUUUUUUGAUAAAAAUAAAAAAAAAUAAAAACAAAAAUAAAAAAUGAAAUUUGGAUUUAAUGGGAAUAAAAAGAAAUUAAAUUAAAUUUAGACUAAAGUUAAAAUAAAAAUUUAAAAGAUGGAAAUAAUUUUAAAGACUGAGAUAAGAGGGCCCGACUCAGAACAAAAUGAGGUAUUUUAAAAUACCUUCCUGCCGAAUUUUUCACUGAAACGUGAGACCGAUCAGGGUUAAAUGGCGCGUGUCAGUGGGAUCUUGGGUCAAAAAUUGGGGUAUGACAGUGGUGAAAUGCAACCUACACCCAGAAAGGCCUCUAAGACAGUCCCUGAAAAGACUGUUUUGGAAAACCAACAAACAGAAACCCAAACAGAAACUCAAACCAUCCCUGAGCAAACUGUUCCUGAACAUACUUGUCGCGUCAUUUAUUGGAGAUCAAGGCUAUUUGAUUAGCUUUUGACUCACUAAUUAUUUCACGACUGAACAUUUAAUUUUAUUAAGAAAAGGGGAAAAAAGUUCAAACACCCCAUUUUGAAAAGAUUUUGGGUUCGGGGGUUAGUUACAUAAAGGGAAGGUAUUAGCACCCUUUAUGUCCGUAGUACUCUACGGGAACCUCUUGGUUUUUAUUUAAUUUUCGUGCUAUAACUUGCUUG